GGGGAAUAUUGCACAAUGGGCGAAAGCCUGAUGCAGCAACGCCGCGUGAGUGAUGAAGGUCUUCGGAUUGUAAAGCUCUGUCUUUUGGGACGAUAAUGACGGUACCAAAGGAGGAAGCCACGGCUAACUACGUGCCAGCAGCCGCGGUAAUACGUAGGUGGCGAGCGUUGUCCGGAUUUACUGGGCGUAAAGGGUGCGUAGGCGGAUGUUUAAGUGAGAUGUGAAAUACCCGGGCUUAACUUGGGUGCUGCAUUUCAAACUGGAUAUCUAGAGUGCAGGAGAGGAGAAUGGAAUUCCUAGUGUAGCGGUGAAAUGCGUAGAGAUUAGGAAGAACACCAGUGGCGAAGGCGAUUCUCUGGACUGUAACUGACGCUGAGGCACGAAAGCGUGGGUAGCAAACAGGAUUAGAUACCCUGGUAGUCCACGCCGUAAACGAUGAGUACUAGGUGUAGGAGGUAUCGACCCCUUCUGUGCCGCAGUAAACACAUUAAGUACUCCGCCUGGGAAGUACGAU
This 514-nucleotide ribosomal RNA is filed under the name uncultured bacterium. Its description in RNAcentral is "partial 16S ribosomal RNA". It matches the Rfam family "Bacterial small subunit ribosomal RNA", at positions 356 to 886 of the family's 1533-position model. The record is from RNAcentral.